This is a long non-coding RNA of Macaca mulatta (Rhesus monkey), 2305 nucleotides long. NCBI's taxonomy places the organism in Eukaryota, Metazoa, Chordata, Mammalia, Primates, Cercopithecidae. The record is from Ensembl.
AUGCAGCGGUUCAACUGGAUUCUGGAACAUAGGCCAGUUGGAUCUAUGGAAGAGAUGUUUUUGAUGUCAUUGAGCAUCAGGCAUUGUCUAGAGUCUCCAAAUUUUAUGUCACGUUCUCUGUGGAAAUUGCAGCACACAGGCACACGAUGUUUUGAAGGGGAAGGCCACAGGGAGAAAAAGAGAAAUAAAGAGAUGCAUGAACCUGUUAAUCAAUUCAGAUUGAACUAUAAUGUGAGAGCUGAAGGAAGCAGAGAGGAAACUGAGGCUCCAGGACAAUGAAGAACUCACCCUCAGACACACUAGUCCAGACAGAGCCCACUAUUUUCUGUAGCUCCGUGGUUCAGAGCACGUGCUGUGCAUUCAAAAGUCUGUGUUUUGUGACCUGUCUCUAUUACUUACUACCUGCGUGGACCUUGGACAAGCUAAUUUCGCUACUGUAUUGCAGUUUUUUCAUCAGUGAAGUGGGGAUAAUAAUAGUAUUCUAAUAGUGUUGUGAGAAUUAAAUGAGAUAAUGUAUCCACAAACCUUCUAUCCGAGCCUGGUACAUGGUAAACACUCAACAGAUAACGUUGUUAUUCUGUGCUGCCUUUCCCUGUGAAGGCAUUGAGCCCAGCAUACCUUUUAUUUAUGUGUCCAUUUUAAGUAAACACAACCAUACAGCAAAGUAUUCAGAUCAUAAGUGUAUAGUAUGAUAAAUUUUCCCAAAGUGUACAAAAUCACACGGUCUCCACCCAGAUAAAGAAACAGAACUGUACCAGAACACCAGAAACCCUUCUUGCCUCCCUCCCAGUCAUAAUCCCCCCAAUAAAUGGAGCUACGAAUCGAAUUUCUUUCAUGGUGUAUCAAUUUUGCCUGUUUUUCAACUUUAUAUGAAUGGAAUCAUGCCAUAUUUAUUCUUUUGUAUCUGAUUCUUUUUCUUUUGAAGUACUAUGUUUGUGAGAUCCAUUACUUGUAACAGCAAUUUAUUAAUUAUCAUUGCUGAGACACUGCAUUUUCUUAUUAUAGACACAAAACACUAGUGUCUUCUAAACAGGUAUAAGGAAUGUACGAAGUAAGUUGUUAAUUAAAAUUGAUACCAAAGUUGGGUAAUGUUUACUUUAAAAUUUUAUUUAAAUUAGAGAUCAUUCACUGAGCAAGUCUCAAAUUCUCAUUAUCCAGAUGGGAAAACUGAGUUCCAGAGAAAGUAAAUUGUCAAGUCCAGGAUCAUGGAGUUAGUAAGUAAAAAUUUAAGACUGAAUGGAAAGAUAAAAGAAUAGAGGAGUCUGGAUGUUGGUUUUAGCUGGAGCAAAACAAAGCUAUUGCAACAAUGGCAUAGCCAUCUUAAUUUUUGCCUCUUUGAUCCACUGCUUGUUCUGUGUAAGAACCAGUUACUUGGCAGCCCAAGCAUUCCUUCAACAGUGUUAAGUGUUCCAGAGCCUGUUGCUAUUCACAAUUACAGAGCAAAAUGGAGCCCUUCUUUUACUUAACCACCAUUUUAUAUUCUGAAGACUAUAAAUAUCAGUUGCCACUUAAAUGUAAUUUGACUUUUCGAAAGAAAAAGGGGUCUAGUCAAACAAAAGAGUUACUUUUUCCCCAUAUAAAUGUUAUCUGAUGACAGCACCAGUGUUUGUCACCUCCACAAUGACAUAAGAUGUUCAGCAUUUCAUCAAGCAUCUGAAUUUCAUCCCUGUGGCCAACUUUAACUCAGUUGGUUCAUUAAGUAGUUGUCAUGUAAUUUCAGUCAUUAAGUUUGAUCAUAUCAUGUUCAUGGCAUCACAGUUGCUCUUCAGUAUUAUUGAGUUUACUUGAUACUACAUAAUCUAGUCUUAGAAAAUACCACACGGCAGAAUUGAAAAAAAACAAAACAGAAAAACUUUCUCAGUCCUGGCCAAAGAUGAAGCACACUUGGACAGCUGUCAAUGAAAUGAAGUCCUGCACCUCUGCUAGUUAAGCAGAAAUCAAAUCCCUCAUAUAGAAAUAAUCUUCCUUGCAGAGGGUCAAGAGAAAUGUGCAGAGCCCACCAGGGAUGGGAAAAGCUGUGCUCUGAACCUAGAUUUAUCAAUGACACAACCUCUAACGAAAAAGACUAAGUACAAUAUACAUGGGCUCCUUUGCUUUCUUCACUCUAUAUAAUCUGAUUAAAAUUCUCUAUAACCGCGAAACCCAAAUUGGAAAAAUAUAUUAUCUGAAAAUAUGUUUAUUACUGAUGUAAUAAUUUAGUUUCUGUGUUGCAAGUAAGGAAAUCAUUUAUGUAUUCACACUUCAAUGCUGUUAAGUGUUUUUACUUCGUAUGUUUUCAUUUUCAUGCUUUCUGUACUUAGUCUGC